RNAcentral lists this ribosomal RNA (540 nucleotides) under uncultured bacterium. Its description in RNAcentral is "bacterial SSU rRNA". It matches the Rfam family "Bacterial small subunit ribosomal RNA", at positions 772 to 1308 of the family's 1533-position model. The record is from RNAcentral.
ACUCAAUAGAUACCGGGUAGUCCCAGCCCUAAACGAUGGAUACUAGGUGUCGGGGGUAUCGACCCCUCCGGUGCCGCCGCUAAACGCAGUAAAGUAUCCCGCCUGGGGAGUACGGCCGCAAGGUUGAAACUCAAAGGAAUUGACGGGGGCCCGCACAAGCGGUGGAGCAUGUUGUUUAAUACGUCACUAACCGUAGAACCUUACCAGGGUUUGACAUGGCGUGCCCUCCUAUGAAAGUAGGCUUCCCCGCAAGGGGACACGCACACAGGUGUUGCAUGGCUGUCGUCAGCUCGCGUCGUGAGAUGUUGGGUUAAGUCCCGCAACGAGCGCAACCCUCAUCCCAUGUUGCCAGCGAGUAAAGUCGGGAACUCUUGGAAAACUGCCGGGGUAACUCGGAGGAAGGUGAGGACGACGUCAAGUCAGCAUGGCCCUUACACCCUGGGCUACAAACAUGCUACAAUGGACGGUAAACAGAGGGAUCCGAGACCGUGAGGUGGAGGCAAUCUCAGAAAUCCGUUCUCAGUUCGGAUUGCAGGCUGC